CCUACGGGCGGCAGCAGUGGGGAAUAUUGCUCAAUGGGCGAAACCCUGAAGCAGCAACGCCGCGUGAAUGAUGAAGGCUUUCGGGUCGUAAAGUCCUUUCGUCAGGGAAGAUAAUGACGGUAUCUAACGAAUAAGCCCCGGCGAACUCCGUGCAAGCAGCCGCGGUAAUACGGAGGGGGCAAGCGUUACUCGGAAUGACUGGGCGUAAAGAGCGCGUAGGCGGGAUAGUAAGUCAGAAGUGAAAGCCUAGGGCUUAACCAUAGGAAUGCUUUUGAAACUGGACUUCUAGAGUAUGGGAGAGGUAGGUGGAAUUCCUGGUGUAGUGGUGAAAUGCGUAGAUAUCAGGAGGAAUACCGGUUGCGAAGGCGGCAAGCUGGACGGUAACUGACGCUGAGGCGCGAAAGCGUGGGGAGCAAACAGGAUUAGAUACCCGGGUAGUC
This 440-nucleotide ribosomal RNA is filed under the name uncultured bacterium. RNAcentral's name for it is "partial 16S ribosomal RNA". It matches the Rfam family "Bacterial small subunit ribosomal RNA", at positions 338 to 795 of the family's 1533-position model. The record is from RNAcentral.